This 427-nucleotide ribosomal RNA is filed under the name uncultured bacterium. RNAcentral's name for it is "bacterial SSU rRNA". It matches the Rfam family "Bacterial small subunit ribosomal RNA", at positions 355 to 774 of the family's 1533-position model. The record is from RNAcentral.
UGGGGAAUUUUGGACAAUGGGCGCAAGCCUGAUCCAGCCAUGCCGCGUGAGUGAAGAAGGCCUUCGGGUUGUAAAGCUCUUUCGGACGGGAAGAAAUGGCGGGCUCUAACAUAGCCUGUCGAUGACGGUACCGUAAGAAGAAGCACCGGCUAACUACGUGCCAGCAGCCGCGGUAAUACGUAGGGUGCGAGCGUUACUCGGAAUUACUGGGCGUAAAGCGUGCGUAGGUGGUUGUUUAAGUCUGAUGUGAAAGCCCUGGGCUCAACCUGGGAAUGGCAUUGGAAACUGGGCAGCUAGAGUGCGGUAGAGGGUAGUGGAACUCCCGGUGUAGCAGUGAAAUGCGUAGAGAUCGGGAGGAACAUCUGUGGCGAAGGCGACUGCCUGGACCAGCACUGACACUGAGGCACGAAAGCGUGGGGAGCAAACA